Molecule: ribosomal RNA, 250 nt
Filed under: uncultured bacterium
Lineage: Bacteria
Description: partial small subunit ribosomal RNA
Rfam family: Bacterial small subunit ribosomal RNA
Source: RNAcentral
AGAACGAACGCUGGCGGCAUGCCUAACACAUGCAAGUCGAGCGGAAAGGCCCUUCGGGGUACUCGAGCGGCGAACGGGUGAGUAACACGUGAGUAAUCUGCCCCUAGCUCUGGGAUAGCUCCGGGAAACCGGAUUAAUACCGGAUACGACCACCUUAGACAUCUUUUGUGGUGGAAAGAAUUUCGGCUAGGGAUGAGCUCGCGGCCUAUCAGCUUGUGGUGGGUAACGCCUACCAAGGCGACGACGGGUA